UAUAAAACUCCCAACCCUUUGUGAACCUUACCGUCGUUGCCUCGGUGGAAGGUGGUGUGCGGUGGGAAGCUACCCUGGAGCUACCUACCCUGUAGAUAGCUACCCUGGAGCUACCCUGAAAAUACGCCCCCCGCCAGCCGCCGAAGGACCACUAAACUCUUGUUUUUACUGUGUCUCUCUGAAUAAUGAAACAAAAAUUCGUUAAAACUUUCAACAACGGAUCUCUUGGUUCUGGCAUCGAUGAAGAACGCAGCGAAAUGCGAUAAGUAAUGUGAAUUGCAGAAUUCAGUGAAUCAUCGAAUCUUUGAACGCAUAUUGCGCCCAUUAGUAUUCUAGUGGGCAUGCCUAUUCGAGCGUCAUUUCAACCCUUAAGCACCUAUCUGCUUAGCGUUGGGAGUCUGCGCCUCGGCGCAGUUCCCUAAAGGUAGUGGCAGUGUUAGGUACACUCGUAGCGUAGUAAUUUUCUUCUCGCGUCUGUAGUGGUCCUGAACGUCUAGCCGUUAAACCCCCCUAUUUCUCAAGGUUGACCUCGGAUUAGGUAGGAAUACCCGCUGAACUUAAGCAUAUCAAUAAGCGGAGGAAAAGAAACCAACAGGGAUUGCCCUAGUAACGGCGAGUGAAGCGGCAACAGCUCAAAUUUGAAAUCUGGCCCUCGUGGUCCGAAUUGUAAUUUGUAGAGGAUGCUUUUGGUGUGGUGCCUUCUGAGUUCCCUGGAACGGGACGCCAGAGAGGGUGAGAGCCCCGUACGGUUGGACACCUAUCCUAUAUAUAGCUCCUUCGACGAGUCGAGUAGUUUGGGAAUGCUGCUCUAAAUGGGAGGUAAAUUUCUUCUAAAGCUAAAUACCGGCCAGAGACCGAUAGCGCACAAGUAGAGUGAUCGAAAGAUGAAAAGCACUUUGAAAAGAGGGUUAAAUAGCACGUGAAAUUGUUGAAAGGGAAGCGUUUGCGACCAGACCUUUUCCUGGCGGAUCAUCCGGUGUUCUCACCGGUGCACUUCGCUUGGUUUAGGCCAGCAUCGGUUUUCUUAGGGGGAUAAAGGCCUGGGGCACGUAGCUCUUCCGGGAGUGUUAUAGCCCCUAGCGUAAUGCCCUUACGGGGACCGAGGACCGC
This 1110-nucleotide ribosomal RNA is filed under the name Hypoxylon sp. B1B0854BP15CC447. RNAcentral's name for it is "eukaryotic LSU rRNA". The stretch from base 525 to 1110 matches the Rfam family "Eukaryotic large subunit ribosomal RNA", at positions 1 to 596 of the family's 3401-position model. Lineage: Eukaryota; Fungi; Ascomycota; Sordariomycetes; Xylariales; Hypoxylaceae. The record is from RNAcentral.